UAACACGUGUCAUACCUAACAUUUCACGUUAAACAUCUUUGUUAAUUUUUUUUUUUUUGUGCAACUCUUUGUUAAUUACACAGCAAGAAACAGGAAAAAUAGGUAAAUCAUACGCAGUGGGGAUGAACUAACACGUCGUGAUUAAUAAUAUUAACAAAGCUAAUUAAAAUUCAAAAUUUUAGUUACAAGUUACACGCAGAAAAAGCAGUUGGUGGACUUGUUAAAAAAAAAAAAAAAAAAAAGCAGUUGGUGGACCAGCAUGGCAGCAUCGGACUUUGACUCUUCUUCAGACAUCGCUCUUAGACGAGAGUGAUAAUUGUCGAUUUGCCAAACAAAUUGUACAAAAACAAAUAAGAUCGAAAGGACAAAGCUUUUUGCUCCUUUUUUCAACUUUUCUUGGUUCUGUUUUGUUCUCUUUGGUUCUAUUCCCCUCAGUGAAUCUUUCUAGCUGCGAUAUUUUUUUUUUUGGAUUUUCUUAUCCGGUACGGGGUUUCCGGUUCAUCUUCUAUCGUCAUUUGCUGUUGCCUAAAUCUUAUGGGAAACUGAGCAGGUUCGUGUCCUAGCAUCAUCUCCUUUGACUCGUUUUAUCUCUAUGCAAAGUCUUUUUUUUUUUACAAUCUCAGGGGAUGCGCUAUUUGCGUUGAGGGAUUUAGUUACGUGCAUUGCCUAAUCAACUCAGUGACUGGAAUCGGAAUCAAGUGAAUCCUUGCAUUUGGUCCCAAGUCAUUUGUGAUGACAAAAACUUUGUCACUUCUCUGUUCGCCUGAAGACAGACUAGUGAUGUCUGAAGUUGCACGGAUGUUAGAAGGAGAAGAGCUUGCAGAGAGAUGGGAAGAGUGGUAAAAAGUGGAAGUCACGAGAUGUCAUGAGUUCGAGAGGUUGCAGAGUGAGAGGAGGUUUGAUUGGGGUGAAGAUUCUAGAAGUACUUUUCUUCUAUGAAUAAUCAAGAUGCCAUUGAAUUAAUUACCAGGUGGAAGAUGACCAAAUAUCAAAUCUUGAUUUUACUGGAAAGCUGUAUACAUGGGCUAUCUUUGACUUGAAUCCUGUGAAAGAGAAUGGCCCUAAUGUUUGAUUGUUGCCUGUUCUUUGAACAUAAUUUUAUUUGACUUUUUUUCGUUGACUUCCCUUUGUGUCGUGCAAAAUGUCACUAGAGGUCAACGUAAUUUUUUGAAAAAGAAAAAAUGGUUAAAUCCGAAUC
Long non-coding RNA from Brassica rapa (field mustard), 1198 nucleotides. RefSeq lists it as uncharacterized. The record is from RefSeq and is a predicted model, not a curated record. NCBI's taxonomy places the organism in Eukaryota, Viridiplantae, Streptophyta, Magnoliopsida, Brassicales, Brassicaceae.